Molecule: non-coding RNA, 29 nt
Filed under: Rattus norvegicus (Norway rat)
Lineage: Eukaryota; Metazoa; Chordata; Mammalia; Rodentia; Muridae
Source: RNAcentral
UACCGAGCCACCCUAGUUUGUCUUCUCGG